GGUUGAUCCUGCCGGACCUGACUGCUAUCGGAUUGAUACUAAGCCAUGCGAGUCAUUGUAGCAAUACAAGGCAGACGGCUCAGUAACGCGUAGUCAACCUACCCUAUGGACGGGAAUAACCUCGGGAAACUGAGUAUAAUGCCCGAUAGAACAUUAUGCCUGGAAUUGGUUUAUGUUCCAAAUGAUUUAUCGCCGUAGGAUGGGACUGCGGCCUAUCAGUUUGUUGGUGAGGUAAUGGCCCACCAAGACUAUUACAGGUACGGGCUCUGAGAGGAGUAGCCCGGAGAUGGGUACUGAGACACGGACCCAGGCCCUAUGGGGCGCAGCAGGCGAGAAAACUUUGCAAUGUGCGAAAGCACGACAAGGUUAAUCCGAGUGGUUUCUGCUAAAGGAACCUUUUGUUAGUCCUAGAAACACUAACGAAUAAGGGGUGGGCAAGUUCUGGUGUCAGCCGCCGCGGUAAAACCAGCACCUCAAGUGGUCAGGAUGAUUAUUGGGCCUAAAGCAUCCGUAGCCUGCUCUGUAAGUUUUCGGUUAAAUCUGUACGCUCAACGUACAGGCUGUCGGGAAUACUGCAGAGCUAGGGAGUGGGAGAGGUAGACGGUACUCGGGAGGAAGUGGUAAAAUGCUUUGAUCUCUCGAUGACCACCUGUGGCGAAGGCGGUCUACCAGAACACGUCCGACGGUGAGGGAUGAAAGCUGGGGGAGCAAACCGGAUUAGAUACCCGGGUAGUCCCAGCCGUAAACUAUGCAAACUCAGUGAUGCAUUGGCUUGUGGCCAAUGCAGUG
This 789-nucleotide ribosomal RNA is filed under the name uncultured sediment archaeon. Its description in RNAcentral is "bacterial SSU rRNA". It matches the Rfam family "Archaeal small subunit ribosomal RNA", at positions 6 to 800 of the family's 1478-position model. The record is from RNAcentral.